ACGGUGAACACGGAGCUUGCUCUGUGGGAUCAGUGGCGAACGGGUGAGUAACACGUGAGCAACCUGCCCCUGACUCUGGGAUAAGCGCUGGAAACGGCGUCUAAUACUGGAUACGAACCACGAAGGCAUCUUCAGUGGUUGGAAAGAUUUAUUGGUUGGGGAUGGGCUCGCGGCCUAUCAGCUUGUUGGUGAGGUAAUGGCUCACCAAGGCGUCGACGGGUAGCCGGCCUGAGAGGGUGACCGGCCACACUGGGACUGAGACACGGCCCAGACUCCUACGGGAGGCAGCAGUGGGGAAUAUUGCACAAUGGGCGCAAGCCUGAUGCAGCAACGCCGCGUGAGGGAUGACGGCCUUCGGGUUGUAAACCUCUUUUAGCAGGGAAGAAGCGAAAGUGACGGUACCUGCAGAAAAAGCGCCGGCUAACUACGUGCCAGCAGCCGCGGUAAUACGUAGGGCGCAAGCGUUAUCCGGAAUUAUUGGGCGUAAAGAGCUCGUAGGCGGUUUGUCGCGUCUGCUGUGAAAUCCGGAGGCUCAACCUCCGGCCUGCAGUGGGUACGGGCAGACUAGAGUGCGGUAGGGGAGAUUGGAAUUCCUGGUGUAGCGGUGGAAUGCGCAGAUAUCAGGAGGAACACCGAUGGCGAAGGCAGAUCUCUGGGCCGUAACUGACGCUGAGGAGCGAAAGGGUGGGGAGCAAACAGGCUUAGAUACCCUGGUAGUCCACCCCGUAAACGUUGGGAACUAGUUGUGGGGUCCAUUCCACGGAUUCCGUGACGCAGCUAACGCAUUAAGUUCCCCGCCUGGGGAGUACGGCCGCAAGGCUAAAACUCAAAGGAAUUGACGGGGACCCGCACAAGCGGC
Molecule: ribosomal RNA, 859 nt
Filed under: Microbacterium sp. AU725_Ted3_MB20NH4
Lineage: Bacteria; Bacillati; Actinomycetota; Actinomycetes; Micrococcales; Microbacteriaceae
Description: bacterial SSU rRNA
Rfam family: Bacterial small subunit ribosomal RNA
Source: RNAcentral